CCGUACCUUUGAAAGAAUGACCAUCCUCUGGUGGUCACAUGUUUCCUUCAGGUUAGUCCACAAUACUAGUGGAUCUUUUAUAGUAAGAUAUUCAACCUUUAAACCUUCAUCAAUAUGAUGCUGAAGAAAAAUUAAAGAUUUUGCGCGAUCCUGCAGGAAUGCAAUAUUUCCUUCUUGAAUCAUGGUUCUAAAAUUCAUGGCAUUAAGAUGCAUUUU
RNAcentral lists this long non-coding RNA (216 nucleotides) under Elaeis guineensis (African oil palm). Its description in RNAcentral is "long non-coding RNA (EGUI_LNC003312)". Lineage: Eukaryota; Viridiplantae; Streptophyta; Magnoliopsida; Arecales; Arecaceae. The record is from RNAcentral.